This 253-nucleotide ribosomal RNA is filed under the name uncultured bacterium. RNAcentral's name for it is "partial 16S ribosomal RNA". It matches the Rfam family "Bacterial small subunit ribosomal RNA", at positions 524 to 776 of the family's 1533-position model. The record is from RNAcentral.
UACGUAGGUGACGAGCGUUAUCCGGAAUUAUUGGGCGUAAAGCGCCCGCAGGCGGCUGUUCAAGUCUGACGUGAAAUCGCUCGGCUUAACUGGGCGGGGUCGUUGGAAACUGAAUAGCUUGAGGCAAGGAGAGGGGGGUGGAAUUCCGCGUGUAGCAGUGAAAUGCGUAGAGAUGCGGAGGAACACCGAUGGCGAAGGCAGCCCCCUGGGCUAACACUGACGCUCAGGCACGAAAGCGUGGGGAGCAAACAGG